This 429-nucleotide ribosomal RNA is filed under the name bacterium. RNAcentral describes it as "partial 16S ribosomal RNA". It matches the Rfam family "Bacterial small subunit ribosomal RNA", at positions 355 to 776 of the family's 1533-position model. The record is from RNAcentral.
UAGGGAAUCUUCGGCAAUGGGGGCAACCCUGACCGAGCAACGCCGCGUGAGUGAAGAAGGUUUUCGGAUCGUAAAGCUCUGUUGUAAGUCAAGAACGGGUGUGAGAGUGGAAAGUUCACACUGUGACGGUAGCUUACCAGAAAGGGACGGCUAACUACGUGCCAGCAGCCGCGGUAAUACGUAGGUCUCGAGCGUUGUCCGGAUUUAUUGGGCGUAAAGCGAUCGCAGGCGGUUUGAUAAGUCUGAAGUUAAAGGCUGUGGCUCAACCAUAGUUCGCUUUGGAAACUGUCAAACUUGAGUGCAGAAGGGGAGAGUGGAAUUCCAUGUGUAGCGGUGAAAUGCGUAGAUAUAUGGAGGAACACCGGUGGCGAAAGCGGCUCUCUGGUCUGUAACUGACGCUGAGGCUCGAAAGCGUGGGGAGCGAACAGG